AUAGCGCGGUGGUCCCACCUGACCCCAUGCCGAACUCAGAAGUGAAACGCCGUAGCGCCGAUGGUAGUGUGGGGCUUCCCCAUGCGAGAGUAGGGAACUGCCAGGC
This 106-nucleotide ribosomal RNA is filed under the name Escherichia albertii. The record is from RNAcentral. RNAcentral also lists the same sequence under 2 other names. Lineage: Bacteria; Pseudomonadati; Pseudomonadota; Gammaproteobacteria; Enterobacterales; Enterobacteriaceae.